This 351-nucleotide ribosomal RNA is filed under the name Triticum aestivum (bread wheat). RNAcentral describes it as "partial small subunit ribosomal RNA". The record is from RNAcentral. Lineage: Eukaryota; Viridiplantae; Streptophyta; Magnoliopsida; Poales; Poaceae.
AUGGUCAUCUACACUGACGAAGAGGCGUAUUGGCGACUGCGGGGAACCCAAAAGUGGGUCCUCAAGGGUGACGCUAAUACCGCCUACUUUCAGGCCAUCGCCAAUGGUCGUAGGAGACGUAAUACCAUCCCCUUGCUCUGGGAUGGGGAGACACUCUUGCAGCGUCAGGAUGACAUCCGCGCUCAUGUAGAUGGCUUUUAUAAAGCCCUCUUUUUCGCCCCCCUAGGGAGGGGGGCUUGGCCCUUGCUUCAGACUUAUGGAUUGGCACCCAGUGCAUCUCGGCCGAGGAAAAUAUGGCCCUCACGGCUCCGUUCACUGAGGAGGAAGUGUGGCUGGCGAUUAAAGGGAUGA